This 1257-nucleotide ribosomal RNA is filed under the name Triticum aestivum (bread wheat). Its description in RNAcentral is "partial small subunit ribosomal RNA". Lineage: Eukaryota; Viridiplantae; Streptophyta; Magnoliopsida; Poales; Poaceae. The record is from RNAcentral.
AUGCCAAACACGACUUUCCUGGCAGAUUCGCUACAGGCCAUGACAACCCAUGGCGAGGCGAAAUUGAAAGAUGUGAAGAACAUGAAGUGGUGUAAGUUCAUUGCCGACUUCCUGCAUGAUGCAUUCUCAAGCAAGAUGUAUCAGAAGGGUUGUCGACUGCAUUUAAUGCUCAUGUACGUCCACUAUCUGGAUCUGUUCACUAUGGAUUUUACUGGGACAGGAGGCCCGCCGCCUACACCCAAGUUUGCUGUUUCUGCGUGGACUUACAACGCUGUCAAGGUUGUGCUUGCAGCGGACAAGGUCACUGAUACCAAGUAUGGAAAACUGCAGCUGAUGGCCAAGCAUGCUAUAGACUACAACGUGUUUGGGGGGCCUCAAAACUUUGAAAAGUGGAUGGACGUGCACUCAGCUCCGUCUUGCCCUAGUGAGGCGAUGGCACCUGUUGGGCAUCUAAUUGGGCAGUUUGCAUCUAGAAUGGCCGGCUUGCUCGGGAAGUUGGUUGAGGGUUGGACGUCCCUUAAUGGCUCUGAUAGCGACGCAGUCGCGAGGCAGUUCACUACAUUUGUCCCAGAACGGUCACACCGGCCAACUGGUUGCCAUGGCCAGUAUGACUGCAACAGUUCCCAAGAGCCUGAUGACAUGCAAGAUGAACUAGAUGGAGACGCUGGUCUAAACAAGGAGGACGAAGAUGACAUGGAGAACGUGCAACACGACAGCGAUGAUGACGAACAAGGUGAAGUUCGUGCAGGUGGUAAGAAGGGCAAGGAUGCACCAGAUGUCCCCCCACCGGACAAAGUCAAAGAACAUACGGCUGCGAGAGGUGAGCGGGUGUUGCCCUCAAAGAGGGGGAGGGCUCGAGAAGAUGAUGGGCAGGGUUCCCCUGGCAAGAGGUCUAGGAGCGAUCUCGUAGCUGCUAGGAGGAGUGAGGUGACCGCUGGUGGCCGAGCAGUUACGAAUAAACAGGCACCAACGCCUACCCGUGCUUCUGCUCGGUUGAACAAAGGUGCCCCCAUUGCUGGUGCCACCCAUUCCACUAGGUCAUCUCCUCAUACAACAAUGUCCAACACCGGGGAUCCUGUCGUGUUGCCAGACUUGAGAAAGCCAGUCAAGAAGGUAAAGCAUACCAUUAGGGACCCACUCGAACGUCUUCAUUUAAAGUUGUCAACAGGUGGCAACUCAGAUGUUCACGAGCUACCAGUCGACAAAACUGCUGCUGCACCACCUACUGUUCACACAAACUCUGAUGCAAGCGGCUGA